RNAcentral lists this ribosomal RNA (497 nucleotides) under uncultured bacterium. RNAcentral's name for it is "partial 16S ribosomal RNA". It matches the Rfam family "Bacterial small subunit ribosomal RNA", at positions 28 to 507 of the family's 1533-position model. The record is from RNAcentral.
GACGAACGCUGGCGGCGUGCCUAAUACAUGCAAGUUGAGCGCUGAAGGUUGGUACUUGUACCAACUGGAUGAGCAGCGAACGGGUGAGUAACGCGUGGGGAAUCUGCCUUUGAGCGGGGGACAACAUUUGGAAACGAAUGCUAAUACCGCAUAAAAACUUUAAACACAAGUUUUAAGUUUGAAAGAUGCAAUUGCAUCACUCAAAGAUGAUCCCGCGUUGUAUUAGCUAGUUGGUGAGGUAAAGGCUCACCAAGGCGAUGAUACAUAGCCGACCUGAGAGGGUGGUCGGCCACAUUGGGACUGGGACACGGCCCAAGCUUCUACGGGGGGCCGCAGUAGGGAAUCUUCGGCAAUGGACGAAAGUCUGGCCGGGCAACGCCGCGUUAGUGAAGGAGGUUUUCGGAUCGUAAAACUCUGUUGGUAGAGAAGAACGUUGGUGAGAGUGGAAAGCUCAUCAAGUGACGGUAACUACUCAGAAAGGGACGGCUAACUACGUG